This is a ribozyme of Balaenoptera musculus (blue whale), 333 nucleotides long. It matches the Rfam family "Nuclear RNase P". From Rfam's summary of the family: Ribonuclease P (RNase P) is a ubiquitous endoribonuclease, found in archaea, bacteria and eukarya as well as chloroplasts and mitochondria. Its best characterised activity is the generation of mature 5'-ends of tRNAs by cleaving the 5'-leader elements of precursor-tRNAs. Cellular RNase Ps are ribonucleoproteins. Lineage: Eukaryota; Metazoa; Chordata; Mammalia; Artiodactyla; Balaenopteridae. The record is from Ensembl.
GCGGAGGGAAGCUCAUCGAUGGGGCCACAAGCUGAGUGCGUUUAGUCACUCCAUCGCAUGUCCCUUGGGAAGGUCUGAGACUAGGGCCAAAAGCGGCCCUAACAGGGCUCUCCCUGAGCUUCGGGGAGGUGAGUUCCCAGAGAACGGGGCUCCGCGCGAGGGCAGACUGGGCAGGAGAUGCCAUCGACCCCGCCCUUGCGGAGGGGGCCUGGCGGAUGCCUCCUUAGCCGGAGCUUGGAACAGACUCACGGCCAGCGAAGUGAGUUCAAUGGCUGAGGUGAGGUACCUCGUAUGGGGGCCUCAUAACCCAAUUCAGACUACUCUCCCCCCCGU